UGCGCCGGCCGCCGCCGCCGCCGCGACGCCGAAGCCGGCAGCCGACUGCGGCGGGCGGGCGCAGCGCGCCGCCAUCUUGCCGUACGGCGCGGCCGACCCACGUCCCGGCCGUGUCGCCGCGCUCCCUCGGGGCGGGCCGGGCGGCGGGCGGCGAGGCCGGAGCCUGGCGGCGCGCUGGGCCGGCCCGCGAUGGUGAUCUGUUGCGCGGCCGUGAACUGCUCCAACCGGCAGGGCAAGGGCGAGAAGCGCGCCGUCUCUUUCCACAGGUUCCCCCUAAAGGACUCAAAACGCCUGAUCCAGUGGUUAAAAGCUGUUCAGAGGGAGAACUGGACCCCCACCAAGUACUCCUUCCUCUGUAGUGAACAUUUCACCAAAGACAGCUUCUCCAGGAGGCUGGAGGACCAGCACCGCCUGCUCAAGCCCACAGCAGUGCCCUCCAUCUUCCACCUGCCUGAGAAGAAGAGGGGGUCUGCCAGUCAUGGCCGCACCCGGAGGAAGGACGCCAGCAAGGCCUCAGGGGCCGUGAGGGGCCGUGGGAGCACAGCAGCUGGGAGAGGGGCUGUGAGCGCCACGCCGUCCUCCAGUGGAACCCUGAUGGCCCAGCCAGAGACCCGCAAGCUGAAGCGAGCCCCUCUGCAGGGGGAUGCCACACCCAGGACCACCCCAGACCCUGGCGGCCAGGAGCAAGCGCAGCAGUCUCUGGGAAAGACCCAAGGAGAUGGACCAGCGGCCCCUCGGGCGGGCGGCCAGGCAGAGGCAGAAGCCUGUGCUGAGGAAGCCAGGAGCCAGGAUGCUGCUGCCUCCACCCAGGGGGCCGGGGCAGACAGAAGCGGGGUGUCCAUGGAUGACUUUACCCCCCCAGGGUCGGGGGCAUGCAGGUUCAUCGGCUCGCUUCAUUCUUAUAGUUUCUCCUCUAAACACACUCGAGAGAGACCGUCUGUUCCCCGAGAGCCCAUCGACCGGAAGAGGCUGAAGAGAGACGUGGAGCCCAGCUGCAGCGGGAACAGCCUGGGGCCGGACAAGAGCGUGGCCCAGAGCCCCCCGCGGUCCUCGCUUACAGCCACGCCACAGAAGCCUUCCCAGAGCCCCUCCGCCCCUCCCACUGACGUCACCCCGAAGCCAGCUGCGGAGGCCGUGCAGAGCGAGCAGAGCGACGCCAGCCCCAUGUCCAUCAACGAGGUCAUCCUCUCGGCCUCGGGGGCCUGCAAGCUCAUCGACUCGCUGCACUCCUACUGCUUCUCUGCCCGGCAGAGCAAGAGCCAGGUGUGCUGCCUCCGGGAGCAGGUGGAGAAGAAGAACGGAGAGCUGAAGAGCCUGCGGCAGAGGGUCAGCCGCUCCGACAGCCAGGUGCGCAAGCUGCGGGAGAAGUUGGACCAGCUGCGGAGAGCAAGCUUCCCCUACCUGAGCUGCCUGCUGCCCCCCAGCCGCGAGCCUCCCAAGAUGAACCCAGUGGUGGAGCCGCUGUCCUGGAUGCUGGGCACCUGGCUAUCUGACCCUCCGGGAGCUGGGACCUACCCGACCCUGCAGCCCUUCCAGUACCUGGAGGAGGUGCACAUCUCCCACGUGGGCCAGCCCAUGCUCAACUUCUCGUUCAACUCCUUCCACCCGGACACGCGCAGACCCCUGCAUAGAGAGUGUGGCUUCAUCCGCCUCAAGCCCGACACCAACAAGGUGGCCUUCGUCAGCGCCCAGAACACAGGUGUUGUGGAGGUGGAGGAGGGCGAGGUGAACGGGCAGGAACUGUGCAUCGCGUCCCACUCCAUCGCCAGGAUCUCCUUCGCCAAGGAACCCCAUGUGGAGCAGGACUUGGGUUCUUGCUCCGUAUUUCCUGUGCUCCUGCGGCUUCCUUUACAGUCAGACCCCUGACCUCCCAGAUGGGUGCACCUGGUGACCGCUGCAGUCCUGGCUCUCUACGGGAUUACCCGAAAAUUCAGGCUGAAUUCUGAAGGCAAACUUGAACAGACGGUGUCCAUGGCAACCACCACGCAGCCACUGACCCAGCAUCUUCACGUCACCUACAAGAGGGUGACGCCGUAGCCAGCACUCCAGAGCCCGGGCCUGCGAGGCUGCAGCUGUCGGGCGGCUCUGCGCAGACGCUCCUGGGGUGGUGUAGAGAAGCCAAAUAAAAGGCCUUUAUUUUUAUGGCUGA
This is an RNA transcript of Sciurus carolinensis (gray squirrel), 2149 nucleotides long. It is a transcript of the gene named THAP domain containing 4, with no coding region annotated. The transcript has 7 exons. The record is from RefSeq and is a predicted model, not a curated record. Lineage: Eukaryota; Metazoa; Chordata; Mammalia; Rodentia; Sciuridae.